RNAcentral lists this ribosomal RNA (253 nucleotides) under uncultured bacterium. RNAcentral describes it as "partial 16S ribosomal RNA". It matches the Rfam family "Bacterial small subunit ribosomal RNA", at positions 524 to 776 of the family's 1533-position model. The record is from RNAcentral.
UACGUAGGGUGCGAGCGUUGUCCGGAAUUAUUGGGCGUAAAGGGCUCGUAGGCGGUCUGUCGCGUCGGUAGUGAAAACUCAGGGCUUAACCCUGAGCCUGCUUCCGAUACGGGCAGACUAGAGGUAUGCAGGGGAGAGUGGAAUUCCUGGUGUAGCGGUGAAAUGCGCAGAUAUCAGGAGGAACACCGGUGGCGAAGGCGGUUCUCUGGGCAUUACCUGACGCUGAGGAGCGAAAGUGUGGGGAGCGAACAGG